UCCUCAUUGUACAUGCUGUGUGCCUUCUCGGUACACGCACAGCGCAUACAAUGUGGAC
This 58-nucleotide microRNA precursor is filed under the name Lepisosteus oculatus (spotted gar). RNAcentral's name for it is "Loc-Mir-460-P2_pre stem-loop". It matches the Rfam family "mir-460 microRNA precursor family", at positions 12 to 67 of the family's 77-position model. The record is from RNAcentral. Lineage: Eukaryota; Metazoa; Chordata; Actinopteri; Semionotiformes; Lepisosteidae.